Molecule: ribosomal RNA, 431 nt
Filed under: uncultured bacterium
Lineage: Bacteria
Description: partial 16S ribosomal RNA
Rfam family: Bacterial small subunit ribosomal RNA
Source: RNAcentral
CCUACGGGAGGCAGCAGUGGGGAAUAUUGCACAAUGGGCGAAAGCCUGAUGCAGCGACGCCGCGUGAGGGAUGACGGCCUUCGGGUUGUAAACCUCUUUCAGUAGGGAACGGGUACUUGCAGAAGAAGCGCCGGCUAACUACGUGCCAGCAGCCGCGGUAAUACGUAGGGCGCAAGCGUUAUCCGGAAUUAUUGGGCGUAAAGAGCUCGUAGGCGGUUUGUCGCGUCUGCCGUGAAAGUCCGGGGCUCAACUCCGGAUCUGCGGUGGGUACGGGCAGACUAGAGUGAUGUAGGGGAGACUGGAAUUCCUGGUGUAGCGGUGAAAUGCGCAGAUAUCAGGAGGAACACCGAUGGCGAAGGCAGGUCUCUGGCAUAACUGACGCUGAGGAGCGAAAGCAUGGGGAGCGAACAGGAUUAGAUACCCUUGUAGUC